UCUUCUGUAGCUCAGUGGCAGAGCGUCCGACUGGUGUGCGGAAGGUCAUACAAUGUAGGUUCAACUCCUGUUGGGAGAA
RNAcentral lists this transfer RNA (79 nucleotides) under Desmophyllum pertusum. RNAcentral describes it as "Lophelia pertusa tRNA". It matches the Rfam family "tRNA". From Rfam's summary of the family: Transfer RNA (tRNA) molecules are approximately 80 nucleotides in length. Their secondary structure includes four short double-helical elements and three loops (D, anti-codon, and T loops). Lineage: Eukaryota; Metazoa; Cnidaria; Anthozoa; Scleractinia; Caryophylliidae. The record is from Rfam by way of RNAcentral.